RNAcentral lists this ribosomal RNA (253 nucleotides) under uncultured bacterium. Its description in RNAcentral is "partial 16S ribosomal RNA". It matches the Rfam family "Bacterial small subunit ribosomal RNA", at positions 524 to 776 of the family's 1533-position model. The record is from RNAcentral.
UACGUAGGGCGCAAGCGUUGUCCGGAAUUACUGGGCGUAAAGCGAGUGUAGGCGGUCUGCUAAGUCGGGUGUGAAAGCCCCGGGCUCAACCCGGGAAGUGCACUCGAAACUGGCAGGCUAGAGUAUCGGAGAGGUUGGUGGAAUUCUCGGUGUAGAGGUGAAAUUCGUAGAUAUCGAGAGGAACACCGGUGGCGAAGGCGGCCAACUGGACGAAUACUGACGCUGAGACUCGAAAGCGUGGGGAGCAAACAGG